GACGAACGCUGGCGGCGUGCUUAACACAUGCAAGUCGAACGAUGAAGCCUAGCUUGCUAGGUGGAUUCGUGGCGAACGGGUGAGUAAUACGUGAGUAAACUACCUUUAACUCUGGGAUAAGCCUUGGAAACUGUGUCUAAUACAGGAUACAACCAAUCUCCGCAUGGGGUGUUGGUGGAAAGCGUUAUGUAGUGGUUAUAGAUGGGCUCACGGCCUAUCAGCUUGUUGGUGUGGUAACGGCUCACCAAGGCGACGACGGGUAGCCGGCCUGAGAGGGUGACCGGCCACACUGGGACUGAGACACGGCCCAGACUCCUACGGGAGGCAGCAGUGGGGAAUAUUGCACAAUGGGCGGAAGCCUGAUGCAGCGACGCCGCGUGAGGGAUGACGGCCUUCGGGUUGUAAACCUCUGUUAGCAGGGAAGAAGAGAAAUUGACGGUACCUGCAGAGAAAGCGCCGGCUAACUACGUG
RNAcentral lists this ribosomal RNA (471 nucleotides) under uncultured bacterium. Its description in RNAcentral is "partial 16S ribosomal RNA". It matches the Rfam family "Bacterial small subunit ribosomal RNA", at positions 28 to 507 of the family's 1533-position model. The record is from RNAcentral.